This 29-nucleotide small RNA is filed under the name Bombyx mori (domestic silkworm). RNAcentral's name for it is "piRNA piR-bmo-1276400". Lineage: Eukaryota; Metazoa; Arthropoda; Insecta; Lepidoptera; Bombycidae. The record is from RNAcentral.
UGCUAUGGGAUUCCGAAGGCGCUCCGCAC